AUGACGCCGUCGCCGGCGUCCACGUCAGCCCCCGACGCCGGCAUGCUCGGCCGCCGCCUCGUGCUGCUUCCGGCGAGCGCCGCGGCGUCGUUGGCGCGCGGGGAGCGGAGGAGGGCGCGGUUGCGGCUGGGGUGCGUGCUCGAGCACGUGGCCCCGCGGCUCGCGCUGGCCUCGGCCGCGCUCGUAGGGGCCGGGGAGGUGAUCGCCGCGGCUGCCGUCGCGGGGGGAAGCGGCGGCGCGGUUCACGGCGCCGUGGCAUCCACGAUCGCGCAACUGGCGGUCUCGGCCGUGGCGAUCGCCUCGGGGGCGUGCCUGUCGACCAAGGUCGACUUUCUCUGGCCUCGCAUCGAGCAGCUGCCUGAUACUCUUGUAUUUGAAGGAGUGGAGGUGACAGGAUAUCAAAUAUUUGAGGAUCCAAAGGUGCAGAAAGCAAUUGUAUUUGCAAGUACAGCUCACAUUGGGCAAUUUAGGAGAACAGGAGACCCAUAUGUUACACACUGCAUACAUACAGGGAAAAUCUUAGCUGCCUUGGUCCCAUCCACUGGAGAAAGAGCAAUCAAUACCGUUGUUGCUGGUAUUCUUCAUGAUGUUAUUGAUGAUACAGCUGAGAACCUGAAGAGCGUAGCAGAGCAAUUUGGGGAUGAUGUUGCAAGCUUGGUAUCUGGUGUAUCAAAACUGAGCUACAUAAAUCAGCUACUGCGCAGGCAUCGGCAAAAAAACACUGGCGGAAGCACUCUUACUUCUGAAGAAGCAAACAACCUGCGUGCUAUGCUAUUGGGGAUGGUUGAUGAUCCUCGUGUGGUGCUUAUCAAGCUGGCAGACCGCUUGCACAAUAUGCGAACAAUCUAUGCUCUUCCCAUUCCAAAAGCAGAGGCUGUUGCUCAAGAGACAUUAGCUGUCUGGUGCUCACUUGCUUCUCGAUUGGGAGUCUGGGCUUUGAAAGCUGAGCUAGAAGACUUAUGCUUUGCUGUCCUUCAGCCCCAAGUUUUCAUGAAAAUACGAUCUGAACUUACUUCGAUGUGGAAUUCUACCAGCAAGGAUAAAAGCAUGAGAAGGUCAUCAAUUAGAAGUGAUUUGCUUGCCUCCACGAAGGAAGUGCACGCGACUUCCACCCAUGAUCUACUUAGUUCGAACGACCAAGAACAAUCAAAUAUGGAGGAUUUAUUGCAAGCUGUAUUGCCAUUUGACCUCUUUUUGGAUCGGAGAAGGCGCUCUGACUUCCUUAAUAAUCUCCAAAGUAAUUCUGAAGCAUCCAUACGAAAGCCUAAAAUUGUUGAUGACGCUGCUAUUGCAUUAACAUCUUUAGCAGCUUGUGAGGAAGAACUUCAGCAGGAAUUGCUUAUAACAACGUCGUAUAUACCUGGGAUGGAAGUUAGGCUGUCAAGUAGACUCAAGAGCUUAUACAGCAUCUACUGUAAGAUGAAAAGGAAACGUGUAGGCAUUAGGCAAGUAUACGAUGCUCGUGCGUUGAGGGUGAUUGUUGGAGACAAAAAUGGUGCAUUGCAUGGACCUGCAGUCAGGAGUUGCUACAGCAUCCUUGAUAUAGUACACAGGUUAUGGACUCCAAUCGAUGGGGAGUUUGAUGACUAUAUUAUCAACCCUAAGGGCAGCGGUUACCAAUCACUCCAUACAGCAGUUCAGGCAUCCGAUAGCUCACCGCUGGAGGUCCAAAUUAGGACCCAGCGAAUGCAUGAGUAUGCAGAGUAUGGACUGGCUGCGCAUUGGUUGUACAAGGAGAGCAGUGUUAACACGGGGAGUGGCAUGAGCAACAAGAUAAAACAAAGUACGUCGUAUGCAUCAAGUUCUUCAGAAGAUGAAAUAACAGACGGUAUGCCCUCAAAGUAUAUUUCUAUGAAAGUGGGGCAUCCGGUCCUCAGAAUUGAUGGUAAUCACUUACUGGCAGCUGUCAUUGUCAGCAUAGAAAAAGGGGGCAAAGAAUUGCUUGUUGCUGUACGUUUUACCCUUGAAGCUUCUGAAGAUGUAGCUGAGCGACGAUCUUCCUUUCAGUUGAAGCGUUGGGAAGCUUAUGCUAGGCUUCAUAAGAAGGUAACUGAGAAAUGGUGGUGUGCACCAGGACAUGGUGACUGGUCAACAAAUCUGGAGAAGUACACACUAUGCCGGGAUGGUAUAUACCAUAAGCAAGACCAAUUUGGGAGACUUUUGCCAACAUUUAUUCAAAUAAUUGAUUUGACGGAAGAGGAAGAGGAGGAGUACUGGAUGGUUGUAUCUGCAGUAUUUGAAGGCAAAGAAACCUCCACUCUGACAUCUGAAUCGAGCAACGGUGAUAGAUCAACUUCCGACCUUCCAAUCUCUACUCCCUUGAGUGAUCCCAUCAACAACAAGGUUCAUUUGCUCAGGACAAUGCUUCAAUGGGAGGAGCAAGUACGGCGUCGAGCAUCGGUAGCGGAGAGAAGUCUCGGCUCGCUGACCGAUCCAAUUCUUCGUGAGGUAGCCAUCAUCUGCUGGCCGUAUGGGAAGAUAAUGAGGAUGAGUACUGGCAGCACAGCCGCUGAUGCUGGUAGAAGAAUGGGCGUGGAUGGGAAGCUGCUUUGGGUGAAUGGCCAACUUGUGCUGCCUCAAACCGAGCUCAAGGAUGGAGAUAUAGUGGAAGUGAGGACGUAG
This 2622-nucleotide ribosomal RNA is filed under the name Triticum aestivum (bread wheat). Its description in RNAcentral is "partial small subunit ribosomal RNA". Lineage: Eukaryota; Viridiplantae; Streptophyta; Magnoliopsida; Poales; Poaceae. The record is from RNAcentral.